UACGUAGGAUGCAAGCGUUGUCCGGAAUUAUUGGGCGUAAAGAGCGCGCAGGCGGUAUGACAAGUCAGAUGUGAAAGAGGCCGGCUUAACCGGCAAGGGUCAUUUGAAACUGUCAAACUAGAGUGCAGCAGAGGAUAGUGGAAUUCCCGGUGUAGUGGUGAAAUGCGUAGAUAGUCGGGAGGAACACCAGUGGCGAAGGCGACUAUCUGGGCUGCAACUGACGCUGAGGCGCGAAGGCUAGGGUAGCAAACAGG
RNAcentral lists this ribosomal RNA (254 nucleotides) under uncultured bacterium. Its description in RNAcentral is "partial 16S ribosomal RNA". It matches the Rfam family "Bacterial small subunit ribosomal RNA", at positions 524 to 776 of the family's 1533-position model. The record is from RNAcentral.